CCUACGGGUGGCAGCAGUGAGGAAUAUUGGUCAAUGGGCGGAAGCCUGAACCAGCCAAGUAGCGUGCAGGAUGACGGCCCUACGGGUUGUAAACUGCUUUUAUACGGGAAUAACGCGCCUUACGUGUAGGGCUUUGCAUGUACCGUAUGAAUAAGGACCGGCUAAUUCCGUGCCAGCAGCCGCGGUAAUACGGAAGGUCCGGGCGUUAUCCGGAUUUAUUGGGUUUAAAGGGAGCGUAGGCCGGAUGUCAAGCGUGCUGUGAAAUGUCCGGGCUCAACCCGGGCCUUGCAGCGCGAACUGGGGGGCUUGAGUGCGCGGAAAGCAGGCGGAAUGCGUGGUGUAGCGGUGAAAUGCUUAGAUAUGACGAAGAACCCCGAUUGCGAAGGCAGCUUGCUGCAGCGGAACUGACGCUGAUGCUCGAAAGCGCGGGUAUCGAACAGGAUUAGAUACCCUUGUAGUC
This 460-nucleotide ribosomal RNA is filed under the name uncultured bacterium. Its description in RNAcentral is "partial 16S ribosomal RNA". It matches the Rfam family "Bacterial small subunit ribosomal RNA", at positions 338 to 795 of the family's 1533-position model. The record is from RNAcentral.